UUUUGCUGAUUUCAAACUGAACACUGGAUAGAAAAUAAAUAUUUUCCUUUUAGUUCCAAUGAUCAUAAAAGUUCCCAACAUGUGAGGACAAAUAAAAAGUCAAAAGUUUCCAAGUGAAGAAGAAAAAGUGUUUCUGCAGAUGAAGUGAAAUGUGGAGUAAAUCGCUCCAGAUCUCCUCCGUUGUUGUUCUGAACAUGUUGAGCAGUAAAUGUUGAUUCAUCAGCUCAGCUCGGACCUGUGGCUUCUGGAUCUUCUUAAUAAAUAAAUGCUUUCCUCGUAAAUUUGUCAUUAAAAAAUCACCACAUUUUUACACUUUGCAAAAUUUUGUGAAAAACAUGCCGAGGGAAGAAAUGAGGCGGGGAAAAGUGUUUAUGGUUUGAUCAGAGGACUGCUGGCUGCUUGGAGAGCUUCACUUCUUCACUUCUCUUCGUCUUCACACUUCACACCAAACACUUUACAGAUUCUCUUCGGCGACUCUCGUUCAGCUCGGCCGUAAAUCCACCGGCAGACUGAAGCUUUGUUUCUUCAUCUUUACGCAGGAAUACUUUCUCUGGGCCUCGACCUCAGAGGGAACAGUUAAAGCCCGACGAGCCGAGCAGAGUCACGUUUCUACAAACGGGAGAGUUUCCGGAGUCUUCGGCAGUGAUGAAGCAGGUGAAGACACCUGUGCUGUGAGAGGAGGCGGAGCCUCAGGUGGGUCCGGUUCAAGUUCUGGAGAAUCAGGUUUUGUUCUCCAGUGGCUCCGACUCGGUUUGUGUGAACAGAAGGAGAAGCAAAGAUUUGAUCAGAUAAAAGAUGGCGGAGAAGCAGGACGUCCAGCAGGAAGUGGAUUUUGAGGAAAAACUUUUCAACGUUCGCAGUGAGUUUGUGAAGAGGGUUUCUGAGGAAAUCCUGAUUCAGCUCCUCGAUAACCUGGAAACGGAUGGUAUCUUUAAUCUUUUGGAGAAGCGGGCAAUACUUGAAGAGAACCCAUCAACAGCAAACAAGGCCCGGAAGACCAUAGAUGAUGUGAUAAUGAAAGGACAGAGAGCCUGCAGAUUGAUGAUCAAACGUCUUCAAUUUAUAGAUCCUACCCUGUCCAAUCAGCUGAGUUUGACCUCCAACUCCUCUGAUUUAGAUUUUGAUGAUCGAUGUCAACAAGACCACAAACAGUCUCUAAGGAAAACCUUCGAAUACUUCGCCCACUGUGAAGGCGUUGCAAAAAGGGAAGAGACAACAUUUCUGAAUGAUAUUUUCACAGAGCUCUACAUCUUAGAAGGAAUAACUGGAGAGGUCAACCAGGAACAUGAGGUCAGACAGAUUGAAACAGCAUCCAGGAAUCAAGCGACAAAAAUAAAACUGGAAGACAUCUUUGAACCCAACCCUGCUAGAAAGCAACGGAUCAGAACAGUGAUGACCAUGGGAGUGGCUGGCAUUGGGAAAACACUGUUAACACAGAAGUUCACUCUGGACUGGGCUGAAGGCAAAACCAACCAGAACAUUGAUUUCAUAUUUCCAUUCACUUUCAGAGAGCUGAAUAACAUUAAAGAAGACACUUUCAGCUUAGUGGGACUGAUUCAUCACUUCUUUGACAAUAUUAAAGAUGCAGAAAUCUGCAGCUUUAAAAAGUUCCACGUUCUUUUCAUUUUCGAUGGUCUGGAUGAGAGUCAACUUCCUCUGAACUUCAGGAAGAAUCCAGUCCUGACUGAUGUUAAAAAGUCAACCUCACUGGAUGUUCUGCUGACAAACAUCAUCAUGGGGAAACUGCUUCCCUCUGCUCUCCUCUGGAUAACCACACGACCUGCAGCAGCUAGUUUGAUUCCAAAUAAGUCUAUUGACAGGGUCAUAGAGGUCAGAGGGUUCACUGACCCCCAGAAGGAGGAAUACUUCAGGAAGAGAUUCAGAGAUGAUGAAGAGAAGGCCAACAGGAUCAUCUCCCACAUCCAGAAAUCAAAAACUCUCCACAUCAUGUGUCACAUCCCAGUUUUCUGCUGGAUCACUAGUAAUGUUCUGGAGAAUAUGAUGGAGACCAGAGAGGGAGGAGAUCUGCCCAAGACCCUGACUGAGAUGUACAUAGAGUUCCUGGAGAUUCAACUGAAAAUCAAGGAGGAAAAGUAUUUUGAAAAAGCUGAAGAAGAUCCAGAGAACAGGAAACUGAUUGAGUCUCUAGGAAAACUGGCUUUUGAUCAGCUGCUGAAGGGAAACCUGAUCUUCUAUGACAAAGAGCUCAAACAGUGUGACAUCAACAUCAAAGAUGCUGCGUUGUUCUCAGGAGUUUUCACUAAAAUGUUUAAAAAGGAGAGAGGGACGCGUGACAUCUCCGUCUACUCCUUUGUUCAUCUGAGCAUCCAGGAGUUUCUGGCUGCAGUCUACAUGCUCCACUGUUUCACCAGCAGGAAGUCAGAGGUGAUCCAGACGUUCCUGGGAGAAAAAUACAGAGAAACAUCUCUAGAUGAGUUCAUGAAGAAAGUCAUGGAGAAAUCCCUCAGCAGUAAAAACGGCCACCUCGACCUGUUUGUCCGCUUCCUUCAUGGUCUCACUGUGGAGUCCAGCCAGAACCUCUUAGAAGAUCUGCUGGGUCAGAGAGAGAACAGUCCAGAAACCAUCCAGAGAAUCAUCACCAACCUGAAGGAGAUGAACACUAAAAGAAUCUCUCCUGACAGAAGAAUCAACAUCUUCUACUGUCUGGUGGAGAUGAACGAUCUCUCAUUUUAUCAGGAGAUCCAACGGCUGCUGGAUUCAGGGAAGGAGCUCUCAGAUACUGACUGUUCAGCUCUGGCCUUCAUGCUGCAGAUGUCAGAGGUUCUGGAUGAGUUGGACCUGGAGAAGUACAACACAUCAUCAAAUGGACGACGGAGACUGGUUCCAGCUGUGAGGAACUGCAGAAAGGCUCGACUUGGUGGCUGUUCACUCGAUAAGGAUGAAUGUGAAGUUUUGGCCUCAGCGCUGAAGUCCAACCCAGAUCUGACUGAACUGGAAAUAAAUCAGAUCAACAUAUAUAAAGGUGGAGAAUCUGAUCUGAAGCCUGUGGUUGAGAUCCUGGAGAGUUCAGUCAGUAAAGUGAAGAAUCUGAGAUUGAGGAGCUGCAGUUUGUCAGAGACCAGCUGGACUUCUCUGUUCUCAACUCUGAAGUCCAAACCGACCCAACUGACAAAACUGGACCUCAACAGAACCAACCUGGAAGGUUCUGUAGUGAAGGAUCUCUGUGGUUUUCUACAGACUGAAGGCUGCAGACUGGAGACAUUGAGAUUGGAGGGCUGCAGUUUGUCAGAGACCAGCUGGACUUCUCUGUUCUCAACUCUGAAGUCCAAACCGACCCAUCUGACAGAACUGGACCUGAGCUACACCAACCUGGAAGAUUCUGGACUGAAGGAUCUCUGUGGUUUUCUACAGACUGAAGGCUGCAGACUGGAGACAUUGAGGUAUUUUAAUAAUAUAAUUAUUGAUAUUUCUGUGAAUAAUUAUUUAUAAUUGAUCAUAAAUCAAAGUUCAUUUCUUCUGUUCUAAUCAAUAUUUUCUGAGUUUGUUCCUGGACUUGGAUCCAGAGUUUAAUUUAGUCCCUCUGUGUAACUGAGUUGGACCUGCUGACCUGAGGUCAGAACAGGACAGCAUUCGGACCCCCGGUGUGUAGAAAUCCCCCUCAUGUGAAGCAGGUCAAAGGUCAUUCAACCCAGUCUAGAAAAGUGAAUCCUGGAAUCUGACAGGAACAAAUCAAUAAUCAAUGAUUGAUGCUUCAACACUUUGAUCAGAACCUGGAAUGAUUUUACUGACUAAAAUCCUCCAACACAACACGACCCAGUACCAGGUUCUGGUUCUGGUUCUGGUUCUGAAGUCAGCAGGUCUUUAUUGAAGCAGCAGCUUGUUGGCAUUAAUAUUCAUGAGAAUCUUUAACUGGUUCUGUUGGACUGGUUAACCUGCAUCCUGUUGGUUCAGCUCAUCUUUUAUUCUUUAUUCAGAUUGCAGAGCUGCAGUUUGUCAAAGAUCAGCUGUGAUUAUUUGGCUUCAGCUCUGAAGUCCAACAGCCUCCAUCUGAAAGAACUGGACCUGAGAGGAAACAACCUGAAGGAUUCAGAUGUUCAGCAGCUGAAGGAUCUUGUAGAUGAUCUAAAGUUCUGAUCUCUGUAAAGUAGAGAAUGAUCUCUGUGUCCUGCUGAUCCUCAGAGGUUGAAGCUGCAGCAGUUUGAGUCUAAAGAGACUCUGACUGGAUCAUGAUGAUGACCUCUGACCUCCAAGAUUUUCCUCCUGUUUGUUUUCUCAUGUCUGUCAUUUAGUGUCUGAUAUUGUUUGUCUCUUUGGAUCAAUAAAGAUCCAAUUCAAACUGGGCUCCAUUUAGAGGCUUCAUGGAGUUUUGAUCUGAACUGGAUUCAACUGGAAAGUUGAUCUUUUUUCUCUCUGAUUCAUUUUCAUCCUGGAACCAGAACUGGUCUGAGAAUGGAAACAUGGGAAUCAUUUCCAGUUCAGCUUUGAAGCCAUGAAAGACACUUCAACCCUCUUUUCUCUGCUGCUUCUUCCUUCUGUUGACAUGAAAAUGUUCCUCAAAGCUCCUCAGAGAAAAAGAUGCUUUACUGGAAACUGGAGAGAAACUUCAGCUUCCAUCACAGAAACCAGUUUAACCAGUUUAGAACUGGAUGUCCCACAGAAACUCUGAUCUUAGAGCAGUUUUCAGGAACAUCCAUCUUUUAUCUGGAAAAAAAUAUAUAGAUAUAUAUAUUGUGAUGGAAAAAUUACAAUAAGGUCACAUCUGCUACUCAUGUUAUGUGAAAUGCUUAUGAACUCUCACCAAAAGAACUAUUUGGGUUUCAUGUUCAAGGUUGGAAGUUUGUUUUCCACAGCUGCCAUCCCAUAACCUUGCAUAAAACCCAUGUAUAGUUUUUGCUUGGCAGUGCUUUGCAUCCAGACUUGCUUCAUUACUGAUUGUCCUAUGAGCUCUCGCUAUAUUAUGCACAAUAUAUGAAUAAACCUGAUUGAGUGAUUUUACCUGAACAGUGCUUGGAAAUAGUAUAUUUCCAAGAAAAUGUAUAAAUAAGUUUUGCAUCAUAGUUAUUGUUGGAAAAUUGAUUUUAUCAGAAAGUUAAUGUUUUCAUAUUAUUAUUCUGUUGUGUUUUUUACUAGGCUCCUGUUCUUUCAUGAUACUUUAUUAACUGUUUCAGGACGUCUACUUUAGACUGUUGUAUCUCCAGGUUUUAACACUUGUCCAACAACCCCUGACCAAAAUCCCACUGAACUCCAGAAAAACACAACAUAUUUCUGACAUGAAUAUCCAAAAACGCCAACCAAGUAAUGAAUGUAACAACAUGGAUGAGAUCUUGUAACAAAGAUUGGCCUCAUUGUUCUGAUGGAUGUUAUUGGUUUAAUUAACGGACUGCUUUGUUUUCUUGACAGAUGUAUAAUUUGUCUGAAUAAACCUGCAAAUAAAGAUAUUUAACGUCA
RNA transcript from Gambusia affinis (western mosquitofish), 5409 nucleotides. It is a transcript of the gene named protein NLRC3-like, with no coding region annotated. The record is from RefSeq and is a predicted model, not a curated record. The transcript is spliced from 9 exons. NCBI's taxonomy places the organism in Eukaryota, Metazoa, Chordata, Actinopteri, Cyprinodontiformes, Poeciliidae.